CAGCAGUAGGGAUCUUCCGCAAUGGGCGAAAGCCUGACGGAGCAAUGCCGCGUGAGUGAUGAAGGUUUUCGGAUCGUAAAGCUCUGUUGCCAGGGAAGAACGCUUGGGAGAGUAACUGCUCUCAAGGUGACGGUACCUGAGAAGAAAGCCCCGGCUAACUACGUGCCAGCAGCCGCGGUAAUACGUAGGGGGCAAGCGUUGUCCGGAAUUAUUGGGCGUAAAGCGCGCGCAGGCGGUCAUUUAAGUCUGGUGUUUAAUCCCGGGGCUCAACCCCGGAUCGCACUGGAAACUGGGUGACUUGAGUGCAGAAGAGGAGAGUGGAAUUCCACGUGUAGCGGUGAAAUGCGUAGAUAUGUGGAGGAACACCAGUGGCGAAGGCGACUCUCUGGGCUGUAACUGACGCUGAGGCGCGAAAGCGUGGGGAGCAAACAGGAUUAGAUACCCUGGUAGUCCACGCCGUAAACGAUGAGUGCUAGGUGUUAGGGGUUUCGAUACCCUUGGUGCCGAAGUUAACACAUUAAGCACUCCGCCUGGGGAGUACGGUCGCAAGACUGAAACUCAAAGAAAUUGACGGGGCCCC
Molecule: ribosomal RNA, 580 nt
Filed under: Paenibacillus sp.
Lineage: Bacteria; Bacillati; Bacillota; Bacilli; Caryophanales; Paenibacillaceae
Description: bacterial SSU rRNA
Rfam family: Bacterial small subunit ribosomal RNA
Source: RNAcentral